UACGUAGGCAGCGAGCGUUGUUCGGAGUUACUGGGCGUAAAGGGUGUGUGGGCGGUUGUUUAAGUUUGGUGUGAAAUCUCCCGGCUCAACUGGGAGGGUGCGCCGAAUACUGAAUGACUUGGAGUGCGGGAGAGGAAAGUGGAAUUCCUGGUGUAGCGGUGAAAUGCGUAGAUAUCAGGAGGAACACCUGUGGUGUAGACAGCUUACUGGACCAUCACUGACGCUGAGACACGAAAGCGUGGGUAGCAAACAGG
This 254-nucleotide ribosomal RNA is filed under the name uncultured bacterium. RNAcentral describes it as "partial 16S ribosomal RNA". It matches the Rfam family "Bacterial small subunit ribosomal RNA", at positions 524 to 776 of the family's 1533-position model. The record is from RNAcentral.